AUGACAGUGAGCACAGUUACAGCGCGUAAAGAUUACAACGAUUAUAAAUUAUGUAUCAAUUCAAAUAGGUAUAGUAAAAAUGCCAAGGAAAUAUGUUCUGAUAAAUUAAACAAAGCUGUUGACACGACCACGCAAAUUGUAUCGAGAGAAUGUAUAGCGAAUACAGAGGAUUUAUAUAAAUGCUUUAAGCAUUCAUUUCGUUUAAGUUUUUGUGACAAAGAUGUUGUAGCAAAAUUACAGAGUUGUCACUCCAAUAUAAUUAAGUCCAUAACUUUCUAAAAGCUUAUAUAUAUAUAUAUAUAGAUGUGCAAAUAUAUAUAAUACCCAUAUUAUUAUUUUUUCUCAUGGGAAAUGCAUUAACGUCCCAAUAGUUUACACUAAUUUGUUUUUUAACUAAAAAGAAUUAUAUAUUUUUUAAUAAAAAAUUAACAUAUAAUUCUUUAUUAAACA
Molecule: long non-coding RNA, 450 nt
Filed under: Piliocolobus tephrosceles (Ugandan red Colobus)
Lineage: Eukaryota; Metazoa; Chordata; Mammalia; Primates; Cercopithecidae
Description: lncRNA (ENSPTEG00000013891.1)
Source: RNAcentral